This 449-nucleotide ribosomal RNA is filed under the name Klebsiella oxytoca. Its description in RNAcentral is "bacterial SSU rRNA". It matches the Rfam family "Bacterial small subunit ribosomal RNA", at positions 1 to 448 of the family's 1533-position model. Lineage: Bacteria; Pseudomonadati; Pseudomonadota; Gammaproteobacteria; Enterobacterales; Enterobacteriaceae. The record is from RNAcentral.
AAAUUGAAGAGUUUGAUCAUGGCUCAGAUUGAACGCUGGCGGCAGGCCUAACACAUGCAAGUCGAACGGUAGCACAGAGAGCUUGCUCUCGGGUGACGAGUGGCGGACGGGUGAGUAAUGUCUGGGAAACUGCCCGAUGGAGGGGGAUAACUACUGGAAACGGUAGCUAAUACCGCAUAACGUCGCAAGACCAAAGAGGGGGACCUUCGGGCCUCUUGCCAUCGGAUGUGCCCAGAUGGGAUUAGCUUGUAGGUGAGGUAACGGCUCACCUAGGCGACGAUCCCUAGCUGGUCUGAGAGGAUGACCAGCCACACUGGAACUGAGACACGGUCCAGACUCCUACGGGAGGCAGCAGUGGGGAAUAUUGCACAAUGGGCGCAAGCCUGAUGCAGCCAUGCCGCGUGUAUGAAGAAGGCCUUCGGGUUGUAAAGUACUUUCAGCGGGGAGGA